Verruconis gallopava is the source of this 107-nucleotide non-coding RNA. NCBI's taxonomy places the organism in Eukaryota, Fungi, Ascomycota, Dothideomycetes, Venturiales, Sympoventuriaceae. The record is from the annotation of a RefSeq genome assembly.
GCAAGUGUAGUUCAAGGGUAGAAUCUCAGUUUCCCAUGAUUUCAAGAUUUCGAUCUUGCAAUUGCGAGGAACUACUGAGGGUCCGAGUUCGAGUCUCGGCACUUGCA